CUGAGUUUACGCUCUACAACCCUUUGUGAACAUACCUAUAACUGUUGCUUCGGCGGGUAGGGUCUCCGUGACCCUCCCGGCCUCCCGCCCCCGGGCGGGUCGGCGCCCGCCGGAGGAUAACCAAACUCUGAUUUAACGACGUUUCUUCUGAGUGGUACAAGCAAAUAAUCAAAACUUUUAACAACGGAUCUCUUGGUUCUGGCAUCGAUGAAGAACGCAGCGAAAUGCGAUAAGUAAUGUGAAUUGCAGAAUUCAGUGAAUCAUCGAAUCUUUGAACGCACAUUGCGCCCGCCAGCAUUCUGGCGGGCAUGCCUGUUCGAGCGUCAUUUCAACCCUCAAGCUCUGCUUGGUGUUGGGGCCCUACAGCUGAUGUAGGCCCUCAAAGGUAGUGGCGGACCCUCCCGGAGCCUCCUUUGCGUAGUAACUUUACGUCUCGCACUGGGAUCCGGAGGGACUCUUGCCGUAAAACCCCCAAUUUUCCAAAGGUGA
This 489-nucleotide ribosomal RNA is filed under the name fungal endophyte. RNAcentral's name for it is "eukaryotic LSU rRNA". The stretch from base 173 to 326 matches the Rfam family "5.8S ribosomal RNA". Lineage: Eukaryota; Fungi. The record is from RNAcentral.